CAAUCGCCUGAUUUUCAAAAACAUGUCUUUUUGAUAAUAAUUUAAAGUUUGGCCUGCCCACUGAAAUUUUAAGGGCCGCGGUAUUUUGACCGUGCAAAGGUAGCAUAAUCAUUAGUUUUUUAAUUAAAAGCUGGUAUGAAAGGUUGGAUGAAAAAAGGACUGUCUCUAUUUAAUUUUAAUAAUAAAUUUAUUUUUAAGUUAAAAAGCUUAGAUUUUAUUAAAAGACGAGAAGACCCUAUAGAGUUUAAUAAAAAUUAAAUUUUAAAUUUUUUAGUAUUUUAAUUUUUAAAAUUUAAUUUUUAUUUAAUUGGGGUGAUUAAAAAAUUAAUUUAACUUUUUUUUAUAUAAACAUUGAUUUAUGAAAUUUUGAUCCAUUUUUUAUGAUUAUAAGAUAAAAUUACCUUAGGGAUAACAGCGUAAUUUUUUUUAAGAGUUCAAAUCGAUAAAAAAGAUUGCGACCUCGAUGUUGGAUUAAAAUUAAUUUUUGGUGUAGAAGCUGAAAUAUUGGUCUGUCGCCUAUCAACG
RNAcentral lists this ribosomal RNA (525 nucleotides) under Judolia sexmaculata. Its description in RNAcentral is "partial 16S ribosomal RNA". The record is from RNAcentral. Lineage: Eukaryota; Metazoa; Arthropoda; Insecta; Coleoptera; Cerambycidae.